UUGAACGCUGGCGGCAUGCCUUACACAUGCAAGUCGAACGGCAGCACGGGAGCAAUCCUGGUGGCGAGUGGCGAACGGGUGAGUAAUAUAUCGGAACGUGCCCGGUCGUGGGGGAUAACGUAGCGAAAGCUACGCUAAUACCGCAUACGAUCUACGGAUGAAANCGGGGGAUCGCAAGACCUCGCGCGAUUGGAGCGGCCGAUAUCAGAUUAGGUAGUUGGUGAGGUAAAGGCUCACCAAGCCGACGAUCUGUAGCUGGUCUGAGAGGACGACCAGCCACACUGGGACUGAGACACGGCCCAGACUCCUACGGGAGGCAGCAGUGGGGAAUUUUGGACAAUGGGCGCAAGCCUGAUCCAGCAAUGCCGCGUGCAGGAUGAAGGCCUUCGGGUUGUAAACUGCUUUGUACGGAACGAAACGGUGAGCUCUAAUACAGUUUGCUAAUGACGGUACCGUAAGAAUAAGCACCGGCUAACUACGUG
Molecule: ribosomal RNA, 482 nt
Filed under: uncultured bacterium
Lineage: Bacteria
Description: bacterial SSU rRNA
Rfam family: Bacterial small subunit ribosomal RNA
Source: RNAcentral